RNAcentral lists this ribosomal RNA (222 nucleotides) under uncultured bacterium. RNAcentral describes it as "partial 16S ribosomal RNA". It matches the Rfam family "Bacterial small subunit ribosomal RNA", at positions 109 to 334 of the family's 1533-position model. The record is from RNAcentral.
AGUAAUGCUUGGGAAUCUAGCUUAUGAGGGGGAGUAACUACGGGAAACUGUAGCUAAUACCGCGUAGAAUCGAGAGAUGAAAGUGUGGGACCUUCGGGCCACAUGCCAUAGGAUGAGCCCAAGUGGGAUUAGGUAGUUGGUGAGGUAAAGGCUCACCAAGCCGACGAUCUCUAGCUGGUCUGAGAGGAUGACCAGCCACACUGGGACUGAGACACGGCCCAG